AUUGAACGCUGGCGGCAUGCUUUACACAUGCAAGUCGAACGGCAGCGCGGGCUUCGGCCUGGCGGCGAGUGGCGAACGGGUGAGUAAUACAUCGGAACGUGCCCAGUAGUGGGGGAUAGCUCGGCGAAAGCCGGAUUAAUACCGCAUACGACCUGAGGGUGAAAGCGGGGGAUCUUCGGACCUCGCGCUAUUGGAGCGGCCGAUGGCAGAUUAGCUAGUUGGUGGGGUAAAGGCCUACCAAGGCGACGAUCUGUAGCUGGUCUGAGAGGACGACCAGCCACACCGGGACUGAGACACGGCCCAGACUCCUACGGGAGGCAGCAGUGGGGAAUCUUGGACAAUGGGCGAAAGCCUGAUCCAGCGAUGCCGCGUGUGUGAUGAAGGCCUUCGGGUUGUAAAGCACUUUUGGCGGGAACGAAAAGGACUGUGCCAAUACCACGGUUCGAUGACGGUACCCGCAGAAUAAGCACCGGCUAACUACGUG
This 484-nucleotide ribosomal RNA is filed under the name uncultured bacterium. RNAcentral describes it as "partial 16S ribosomal RNA". It matches the Rfam family "Bacterial small subunit ribosomal RNA", at positions 29 to 507 of the family's 1533-position model. The record is from RNAcentral.